AAUUUUGGACAAUGUGGGAAACCCUGAUCCAGCCAUCCCGCGUGUAUGAUGAAGGCCUUCGUGUUGUAAAGUACUUGUGGCAGAGAAUAAAAGGUAUCCCCUAAUACGUGAUACUGCUGACGGUAUCUGCAGAAUAAGCACCUGCUAACUACGUGCAAGAAGACGCGGUAAUCCGUAGGGUGCCAGCGUUAAUCGGAAUUACUGGGCGUAAAGCGUGUGUAGGAGGUUCGGAAAGAAAGAUGUGACAUCCCAGGGCUCAACCUUGGAACUGCAUUUUUAACUGCCGAGCUAGAGUAUGUCAGAGGGGGGUAGAAUUCCACGUGUAGCAGUGAAAUGCGUAGAUACGUGGAGGAAUACCGAUGGCGAAGGCAGCCCCCUGGGAUAAUACUGACGCUCAGACACGAAAGCGUGGGGAGCAAACAGG
RNAcentral lists this ribosomal RNA (424 nucleotides) under uncultured bacterium. Its description in RNAcentral is "partial 16S ribosomal RNA". It matches the Rfam family "Bacterial small subunit ribosomal RNA", at positions 360 to 776 of the family's 1533-position model. The record is from RNAcentral.